GCCUACGGGGGGCAGCAGUAGGGAAUCUUCCACAAUGGGCGAAAGCCUGAUGGAGCAACGCCGCGUGGGUGAAGAAGGUCUUCGGAUCGUAAAACCCUGUUGUUAGAGAAGAAAGUGCGUGAGAGUAACUGUUCACGUUUCGACGGUAUCUAACCAGAAAGCCACGGCUAACUACGUGCCAGCAGCCGCGGUAAUGCGUAGGUGGCAAGCGUUAUCCGGAUUUAUUGGGCGUAAAGGGAACGCAGGCGGUCUUUUAAGUCUGAUGUGGAAGCCUUCGGCUUAACCGGAGUAGUGAAUUGGAAACU
This 305-nucleotide ribosomal RNA is filed under the name uncultured bacterium. Its description in RNAcentral is "bacterial SSU rRNA". It matches the Rfam family "Bacterial small subunit ribosomal RNA", at positions 337 to 634 of the family's 1533-position model. The record is from RNAcentral.